UUCCAUUCUUUCUGUUUGGCCUGUCCAUAGCUUCUGCAAAUGCUUGCCGGUAAAAUUGUUUGAAGAAAAAGAGUUAACGACUUUUUCAAUGAUAGCCUCCCAGUAGUUGCCAGGUGCAACAAAAGUUGAAGUUUCAAAUUGAAGCUUCCACUUUUGCAAUAUGAAACUGGCACCUUGGGAGAGUUUGGAUUGUUGCAAGUGAAACUGGCACCUUGGGAGAGUUUGGAUUGUUGCAAGUGCAAUUUAGGCACGAAGGGAGUUUAGAAAGAUCCAAAGUCAUCUUUCGUUUCAAUCCCCUACAGCAAUCCUAGUGCUCCCAACCUGUGCAUGAAUUUCUUUGUGUCUAUUUCAUUUGAUCAGCUUCAUAACUGUCUUCUGAUGCAACA
RNAcentral lists this long non-coding RNA (386 nucleotides) under Ananas comosus (pineapple). Its description in RNAcentral is "long non-coding RNA (ACOM_LNC015680)". The record is from RNAcentral. Lineage: Eukaryota; Viridiplantae; Streptophyta; Magnoliopsida; Poales; Bromeliaceae.